AGUCUGCUUGUUCGGUUGAAAAACCGUGUGGAUCAAACAUGGCCGCCAUCAUUGGAGGUUGUGUUGCUGCAGCGGUUGCUGCUGGCUUAGGGUGCAUCAUCCUCGGCGUCGCAUGUAAGCGUUCGAACAACAAAGUACAAGACACGAAGGAAAUACCACCAAUAUCAACAGAAUGUCCCGCUGAAGAUCAUACCAAACACAGUGGUUAGUCAUUUCAUCAAUCUACAAUGGAGGAUUUCUUCUUUGACAACUCAGCACGUGCCUUCAGAUGGAGCGAUGUGAAUAUAAAACAUUUUAAGAACCUGACAUGUAAAUAACAAUUUGUGAAAGAAAGCUGUGUGCUUCAUACAAUGCCAUUACAUAUUUUAACAAUAUGAACUUAAUGAGAUCUACCCUUAGUGGGCAUAUUUGUCUUUAUUCAUACUAUUUAUAUGCCGAUUAAAAUAAUGACGUAAUAAAAGUAAUUGGAUCAUUGGAUUAUGUGGAUAUAUUUAUUCAUGUUGUGUGUGUAGUGGUUAAUGCGUACAUGCGUGAAUUAAUCUUGCUUUGGCUUUAGUCAAAGGUAGACAAUUUAUGUAGUUUUUUUUUCUUUCUUUUUUGUGCUUUGUGUUGAAAGGAAUCCAUAUUUGUACGGAUUGAAAUAAAUCUAGUAAAUAAUGCACUUGUAAUUAUGCAGCUCAAGGUUCACUAUCUUAAA
This is a long non-coding RNA of Pomacea canaliculata, 697 nucleotides long. RefSeq lists it as uncharacterized. NCBI's taxonomy places the organism in Eukaryota, Metazoa, Mollusca, Gastropoda, Architaenioglossa, Ampullariidae. The transcript has 3 exons. The record is from RefSeq and is a predicted model, not a curated record.